RNAcentral lists this transfer RNA (85 nucleotides) under Aliarcobacter skirrowii. Its description in RNAcentral is "Arcobacter skirrowii tRNA-Leu". It matches the Rfam family "tRNA". From Rfam's summary of the family: Transfer RNA (tRNA) molecules are approximately 80 nucleotides in length. Their secondary structure includes four short double-helical elements and three loops (D, anti-codon, and T loops). Lineage: Bacteria; Pseudomonadati; Campylobacterota; Epsilonproteobacteria; Campylobacterales; Arcobacteraceae. The record is from RNAcentral.
GCGGAUGUGGUGGAACGGUAGACACGCCAUCUUGAGGUGGUGGUAAGCUACGCUUGUGCGGGUUCAAGUCCCGCCAUCCGCACCA